Molecule: ribosomal RNA, 462 nt
Filed under: Triticum aestivum (bread wheat)
Lineage: Eukaryota; Viridiplantae; Streptophyta; Magnoliopsida; Poales; Poaceae
Description: partial small subunit ribosomal RNA
Source: RNAcentral
AUGAUGGAGGGAGCAGCUCACGCUGCCAGGCUCCCGACCGAACGCGUCGGGUCCUCUCUCCUCGAGGCCAACCCCUCCUAUUCAUCGCAUCUCUCCCUGACUCCGUCUCCUCCACGAGAUCAAGAUGUAGCACCAACCCACGCCAUGGACGCCCUUGCCAGCUGCAUCUCUCCAUGCGCCGCCACUCCUAUGACACCGCCGCCCGGCAGUCUCCACCAGCACCACGACGGGCGUGGCCUCUGCACGCGCCGUCACCUCCCCUCCAGAUCCGGUCGUCGUCGAGGGCAUAUCCAUCCAGCAGUGCGGCGUCACCUCCCCUCCAGAUCCAGCCAUCGUCAAGGGCGUGUCCAUCCAGCAGCGCGCCGUCAUCCCAAUCAUCACCGUCCACGGCGUCAUCGCCCAGGCCCAGUCAGGGGCCGGCAAGACCUCCAUGAUCUCCCUCUUUGUCUGCCAGGUCAUUGA